GCCGAAGUGUUGGAACUGGUAGACAAGCAUGACUCAGAAUCAUGUGUUCUUAAGGACAUGGGGGUUCAAGUCCCCCCUUCGGCA
Molecule: transfer RNA, 84 nt
Filed under: Deferribacteraceae bacterium
Lineage: Bacteria; Pseudomonadati; Deferribacterota; Deferribacteres; Deferribacterales; Deferribacteraceae
Description: tRNA-Leu
Rfam family: tRNA
About the family: Transfer RNA (tRNA) molecules are approximately 80 nucleotides in length. Their secondary structure includes four short double-helical elements and three loops (D, anti-codon, and T loops). Further hydrogen bonds mediate the characteristic L-shaped molecular structure. tRNAs have two regions of fundamental functional importance: the anti-codon, which is responsible for specific mRNA codon recognition, and the 3' end, to which the tRNAs corresponding amino acid is attached (by aminoacyl-tRNA synthetases). tRNAs cope with the degeneracy of the genetic code in two manners: having more than one tRNA (with a specific anti-codon) for a particular amino acid; and 'wobble' base-pairing, i.e. permitting non-standard base-pairing at the 3rd anti-codon position.
Source: RNAcentral